ACAUGUUGCCUCUAGGGGCAUAAUUUACUCCUCCCGCCUCUUUUGCAUCUUUGUUGGUGAAGUAACCUCCUUAAAUGUUCAUAUGACAAUUAUUCAACUCAAUGAUACAUCAUUCAUUUGAAUGAAUUAAUAAACCCCUGGACUGUAUUAUUUGAGAUGUUUGAGCAAGAUUUCUGCUAAUGUCCAAA
This is a long non-coding RNA of Etheostoma cragini (Arkansas darter), 188 nucleotides long. RefSeq lists it as uncharacterized. The record is from RefSeq and is a predicted model, not a curated record. Lineage: Eukaryota; Metazoa; Chordata; Actinopteri; Perciformes; Percidae. The transcript is spliced from 3 exons.